RNAcentral lists this long non-coding RNA (1028 nucleotides) under Medicago truncatula (barrel medic). RNAcentral's name for it is "lncRNA gene27785". Lineage: Eukaryota; Viridiplantae; Streptophyta; Magnoliopsida; Fabales; Fabaceae. The record is from RNAcentral.
GCUAAGAGUAAAUUGAUUUUUUUCCACACAUACAUAAAAAUAUGCUAUUAUUAGCCCAUGGUAUAAGAAGGGCUUGGCAAGUUUAUCACGGUAGUUUUGAUUUUUGUCAUCAUGUUUAUGCUGUUGGUAAUUCCUUGUGAUCCAAUUCCACUGUCUUUUAUACCCUGGAAAAUGAUCUGGCCCACGAGCUGGGGCAGAAUUUAUCUGAACUGUUCCUGAUUCCAUUGCAUCACUAAUCAUCAUUGCUUUGUUGAUAUCCUUUGUGAACACACAUCCCUGAACAAUUUCAAGUUCAAUUUUGUUCAUACAAAUUAUUAUUGCUAUGCUCCCAAAUCACAAGUAUAAAUUAUUACCUGAAGUCCAAAGUUACUAGCAUUACAAUGGUGGAUGCCUUCUUCAACAGAAUUGAUCCUAAUUACAGGCAAAACUGGUCCAAAUGGCUCCUCCCAAGCAAUUCUCAUGUCUGGCCUAACAUUAUCCAAUAACAAAGGCCAAAUAAGAUUCCCUUCUCUCUUGUAUUCUUGGCAGAAUGUUGCUCCUUUCUGCUUAGCAUCAUUCACCAAGCCUUCAAUGAAAUUAGCUGAUGAUUCUGAUACAACUGGGGUGAUAUCACAGUCAUCCUCAGGUGGUCCAACGCUUAGUUUUGCCACCUUAGCCUUCACUUUCUCAACCAAAGUAUCAGCAACUGAUUCUAUUACCAAGACAACCUUAACAGCAGUACACCUCUGACCACUUUUCAUGAAGAAAAAAAAAAGUUCCCAACCAAAUCAAGGUCAGCAUCUUCAAGUACAAUGCAAGCAUCUUUUCCUCCCAAUUCCAUUUGUAACGGAAUCAUGCCUGCCUUCUUUGAAAUUGCAAUGCCGGUAUCUCCACCAGUGAAGCUGUCAGAUAGCAAGGUUACAAGUCAGUAGAGAUAAAAGUGGCAUAUAGUCAUAUACUAUGAGAGCAUCAUAUUGAUUGAUAUAUAGUCACCUUAUACAGUUCACUCCUGGAUGCAUUGUAAGGAAGUCACCAAUUUCUGAGCCUUU